GUACACGCUUCGGCAGCACAUAUGCUAAAAUUGGAACGAUACGGAGAAGAUUAGCAUGGCCCCUGUACAAGGAUGACAUGCAAAUUUGUGAAGCGUUCCAUAUUUUU
RNAcentral lists this small nuclear RNA (107 nucleotides) under Salvator merianae (Argentine black and white tegu). Lineage: Eukaryota; Metazoa; Chordata; Lepidosauria; Squamata; Teiidae. The record is from RNAcentral.